RNAcentral lists this ribosomal RNA (1357 nucleotides) under uncultured bacterium. RNAcentral's name for it is "partial 16S ribosomal RNA". It matches the Rfam family "Bacterial small subunit ribosomal RNA". The record is from RNAcentral.
AACGAACGCUGGCGGCAGGCUUAACACAUGCAAGUCGAACGCCCCGCAAGGGGAGUGGCAGACGGGUGAGUAACGCGUGGGAAUCUACCCAACUCUACGGAAUAACUCAGGGAAACUUGUGCUAAUACCGUAUACGCCCUUCGGGGGAAAGAUUUAUCGGAGUUGGAUGAGCCCGCGUUGGAUUAGCUAGUUGGUGGGGUAAAGGCCUACCAAGGCGACGAUCCAUAGCUGGUCUGAGAGGAUGAUCAGCCACAUUGGGACUGAGACACGGCCCAAACUCCUACGGGAGGCAGCAGUGGGGAAUAUUGGACAAUGGGCGCAAGCCUGAUCCAGCCAUGCCGCGUGAGUGAUGAAGGCCCUAGGGUUGUAAAGCUCUUUCACCGGUGAAGAUAAUGACGGUAACCGGAGAAGAAGCCCCGGCUAACUUCGUGCCAGCAGCCGCGGUAAUACGAAGGGGGCUAGCGUUGUUCGGAAUUACUGGGCGUAAAGCGCACGUAGGCGGGUAUUUAAGUCAGGGGUGAAAUCCCGGAGCUCAACUCCGGAACUGCCUUUGAUACUGGGUACCUAGAGUAUGGAAGAGGUAAGUGGAAUUCCGAGUGUANAGGUGAAAUUCNUANAUAUUCNGAGGAACACCANUGGCGAANGCGGNUUACNUGGUCCAUUACUGACNCUGAGGUGCNNAAAGCGNGGGGGAGCAAACCUAANCGCANNUNAACCCUGCCGCCUNGGAAUGGANGGUGAGCNAGAUUAAAACUCAAAGAAAUUGACGGGGGGCCCGCNCAANCGGGNAGCAUGUGGGUUUNAUUNGAANCAACGCGCAGAGCNUUNNCAGCCCUUGACAUCCCGAUNGCGGUUAGGNAGACACUUUCCUUCAGUUCGGCUGGAUCGGAGACAGGUGCUGCAUGGCUGUCGUCAGCUCGUGUCGUGAGAUGUUGGGUUAAGUCCCGCAACGAGCGCAACCCUCGCCCUUAGUUGCCAGCAUUCAGUUGGGCACUCUAAGGGGACUGCCGGUGAUAAGCCGAGAGGAAGGUGGGGAUGACGUCAAGUCCUCAUGGCCCUUACGGGCUGGGCUACACACGUGCUACAAUGGUGGUGACAGUGGGCAGCGAGACAGCGAUGUCGAGCUAAUCUCCAAAAGCCAUCUCAGUUCGGAUUGCACUCUGCAACUCGAGUGCAUGAAGUUGGAAUCGCUAGUAAUCGCGGAUCAGCAUGCCGCGGUGAAUACGUUCCCGGGCCUUGUACACACCGCCCGUCACACCAUGGGAGUUGGUUUUACCCGAAGGCGAUGCGCUAACCGCAAGGAGGCAGUCGACCACGGUAGGGUCAGCGACUGGGGUGAAGUCGUAACAAGGUAACC